Molecule: ribosomal RNA, 520 nt
Filed under: uncultured Entrophospora
Lineage: Eukaryota; Fungi; Glomeromycota; Glomeromycetes; Entrophosporales; Entrophosporaceae
Description: SSU rRNA
Rfam family: Eukaryotic small subunit ribosomal RNA
Source: RNAcentral
AGCAGCCGCGGUAAUUCCAGCUCCAAUAGCGUAUAUUAAAGUUGUUGCAGUUAAAAAGCUCGUAGUUGAAUUUCGGGAUUGACGUGAUGGUCAUGCCUUAAGGGGUAUGAACUGUUACAGUUGAUUUCUCACCUUCUGGAGAAACUUGAUGUCCUUUAUUGGGUGUCUUGCGGAUCCAGGACCUUUACCUUGAAAAAAUUAGAGUGUUUAAAGCAGGCAUUUUUGCUCGAAUACAUUAGCAUGGAAUAAUAGAAUAGGACGGCAUGGUUCUAUUUUGUUGGUUUCUAGGAUCACCGUAAUGAUUAAUAGGGAUAGUUGGGGGCAUUAGUAUUCAAUUGUCUAGAGGUGAAAUUCUUGGAUUUAUUGAAGACUAACUACUGCGAAAGCAUUUGCCAAGGAUGUUUUCAUUAAUCAAGAACGAAAGUUAGGGGAUCGAAGACGAUCAGAUACCGUCGUAGUCUUAACCAUAAACUAUGCCGACUAGGAAUCAGACGAUGUUAAUUUUUAAUGUACUCGGUUU